This 468-nucleotide ribosomal RNA is filed under the name uncultured bacterium. RNAcentral describes it as "partial 16S ribosomal RNA". It matches the Rfam family "Bacterial small subunit ribosomal RNA", at positions 28 to 507 of the family's 1533-position model. The record is from RNAcentral.
GACGAACGCUGGCGGCGUGCUUAACACAUGCAAGUCGAACGGUAAGGCACUGCUUUUGUCGGGUGCUCGAGUGGCGGACGGGUGAGUAACACGUGUGUAACCUGCCCUUGACUUUGGGGGGAUUUCUGGUAGCUGGGGCUAAUACUAGCUAGGAGCGUCUGCUGCCUGGUGGGGGUGGGAUAGUGUCGGCUGGUGGUGAUGGACGCGCGGCUUAUCAGCUUGUUGGUGGGGUAGUGUCUUACCACGGGUUUGGCGGGUAGCCCCCCUGGGAGGGUGACCCGCCACCUUGGCACUGAGGUGCGGCCCAGACUCCUACGGGUGGCAGCAGUGGGGAAGAUUGCAGAAUGCGCGGAAGGCUGAUGAAGCAGCCCCGCGUGCUGGAAAACGGCUUUCGGGUUGUGAAACGCUUUCGCCUGUGACCAAGCGUGAGUGACGGUAAUUGGUAAAGAAGCACCGGCUAACUUCGUG